Molecule: ribosomal RNA, 277 nt
Filed under: uncultured bacterium
Lineage: Bacteria
Description: partial 16S ribosomal RNA
Rfam family: Bacterial small subunit ribosomal RNA
Source: RNAcentral
AACGAACGCUGGCGGCGUGCCUAACACAUGCAAGUCGUGCGAGAACGGGGGGGCAACCCCCCAAGUAAAGCGGCGCACGGGUGAGUAACACGUAGGUAACCUACCCUCGAGACCGGGAUAACCCGCCGAAAGGUGGGCUAAUACCGGAUAUGACCACGGGAGCCUCGGCUCCUGCGGUGAAAGGUGGCCUCUGCUUGCAAGCUACUGCUCGGGGAUGGGCCUGCGCGCCAUUAGCUAGUUGGCGGGGUAAUGGCCCACCAAGGCUAUGAUGGCUAGC